Molecule: long non-coding RNA, 1239 nt
Filed under: Brassica napus (rape)
Lineage: Eukaryota; Viridiplantae; Streptophyta; Magnoliopsida; Brassicales; Brassicaceae
Description: long non-coding RNA (BNAP_LNC017518)
Source: RNAcentral
AGUAAAAGGAUUAAAUUCCAUUUCCGAGGUUAAAGAAUAGAGAAAAAACAGAUAGGAAUCUGUUUUAGAUGGAUGAGAAUGAAGGAGUUUUAAAAGAGUUUACGAGUUGACAUAUAUCAAACUCCCAUUUAUUACCGUUUCACAACCAUAAUCAACCACAAAUUUAGACACUUCAAACUAAAGCAAAAAAUUUAUUAUCGGCAAUUCAAACCAAAGAAAGUCAUUUAACUACAGCAAGUUUUAAAUAGCCUAACUAACAACAUCAAUGCAAACACACUAAACGCAUUAACUACCUAACCAUAAAGCUUUCAAUGGCAGUAAAAGUUUUAAACAUUUACCUGUUUUGCGCAGGGGAAUACGCUCCUCUGGUUGCAGAUGAUCCUUCCUGUUUUGCUUCAGUGAUGGAGCUCAAGACACAGACAGACAAGCAAAAACAAAACAACAAUGAGAAACUGAGGUAGAGAGACAAACAAACAUAAACAAAUCAAAUUUUUUUUUUUUUUUUGUCGUUGGUUAAUUACGCUAUUACAAACUAUGAGAAAUGUUACAAGACGAUUCUACAACCGGCAAUUCUACCUGCCUUGUGAGGAUUCACGCCUGGCUGCAUCAUCCUGAGCCAUCUUAUGAGAUCCAUGCCUGACGGUACUUUUUGCGCCAUGCCGAAGAUCUCCUGUAUGUUUUUCUCCAUAAAUCUGCAAUUCGCUUCCAGAAUGCAAUAGACCUCUGUUCAUUCCCCACUACUGUAUCUUUGCUCGUGUUUAACCACGAGCUGAUGAGCACAAUGUCGUCAGUUGAAGACCACGUCCUCCUCUCCUUACGGCUGCCUUGAGUCUCUUCACCAAUGUUCGAAUCGUGUGUGGCUUGACUAGCAAAGAAGGGAAGCUGUGACUCGGGUACAUUACCAAAGACCACAUUCUGUUGACUGCUAAGCAGGUCAACAAAGUUUGAAGGCUCAGUAAAAGGAUUAAAUUCCAUUUCCGAGGUUAGAGAAUAGAGAAAAAACAAAUAGGAAUCUGUUUUAGAUAGAUGAGAAGGAAGGAGUUUUAAGGAGAGUCUACGAGUUGACAUUUAUCUAACUCCCAUUUAUUACAGUUUCACAACCAUAAUCAACCACAAAUUUAGACAAUUCAAACUAAAGCAAACAAUUUAUUAUCGGCAAUUCAAACCAAAGAAAGUCAUUUAACUACAGCAAGUUUUAAAUAACCUAACUAACAACAUCAAUGCAAACACACCAAACAC